Molecule: ribosomal RNA, 351 nt
Filed under: uncultured bacterium
Lineage: Bacteria
Description: bacterial SSU rRNA
Rfam family: Bacterial small subunit ribosomal RNA
Source: RNAcentral
GGACCCGCACAAGCGGUGGAGCAUGUGGUUUAAUUCGAUGCAACGCGAAGAACCUUACCUGGUCUUGACAUCCUGCGAACUUUCUAGAAAUAGAUUGGUGCCUUCGGGAACGCAGUGACAGGUGCUGCAUGGCUGUCGUCAGCUCGUGUCGUGAGAUGUUGGGUUAAGUCCCGUAACGAGCGCAACCCCUAUCCUUAUUUGCCAGCACAUCAUGGUGGGAACUAUAAGGAGACUGCCGGUGAUAAACCGGAGGAAGGCGGGGACGACGUCAAGUCAUCAUGGCCCUUACGACCAGGGCUACACACGUGCUACAAUGGGAAGGACAAAGAGCCGCGAAGCCGCGAGGUGUAG